AGAUUGAACGCUGGCGGCAGGCCUAACACAUGCAAGUCGAGCGGCAGCACGGGUACUUGUACCUGGUGGCGAGCGGCGGACGGGUGAGUAAUGCCUAGGAAUCUGCCUGGUAGUGGGGGAUAACGCUCGGAAACGGACGCUAAUACCGCAUACGUCCUACGGGAGAAAGCAGGGGACCUUCGGGCCUUGCGCUAUCAGAUGAGCCUAGGUCGGAUUAGCUAGUUGGUGAGGUAAUGGCUCACCAAGGCGACGAUCCGUAACUGGUCUGAGAGGAUGAUCAGUCACACUGGAACUGAGACACGGUCCAGACUCCUACGGGAGGCAGCAGUGGGGAAUAUUGGACAAUGGGCGAAAGCCUGAUCCAGCCAUGCCGCGUGUGUGAAGAAGGUCUUCGGAUUGUAAAGCACUUUAAGUUGGAGGAAGGCAGUUACCUAAUACGUAUCUGUUUGACGUUACCGACAGAAUAAGCACCGGCUAACUCUGU
Molecule: ribosomal RNA, 484 nt
Filed under: uncultured soil bacterium
Lineage: Bacteria
Description: bacterial SSU rRNA
Rfam family: Bacterial small subunit ribosomal RNA
Source: RNAcentral